GUACUACUGGAAAUGGGAAUCGGAGAUGUACAAAUACUUGGCGACUCUCUCUUGGUUAUCAAUCAGUUGUGCAACGAGUUCAGAUGCAAUAGCUUCACGUUGGUUCCUUAUUGGAACAGGGCAUUAGACCUGUUGGACCAGUUUGAUAACAUACAUCUAGAGUACAUUCCUCGCGAGCGAAAUUUUGCAGCGAACGAGUUGGCCCAACUAGCAACAGGGGUAACAUUGAGAUAUGGUGUGCGGGAGAGAAUCCUUAAAGUCGAGCGUCGCACGCUUCCUUCAUGGAUGGCGAGAAGAGAUCCUCCAGAUGAUACCUUAGUCGCGACCCUGGAACCCAUUGACGUGGAUUGGCGCAUCCCUUUGAUCGCUUAUCUCAAGCAGCCAGAUCCCAUUGCCGACAGGAAGAUUCGUUUUCUUGCACUAAAUUACUUUCUUAGAGGUGACGAGCUGCGACGACGAGGCGAAGAUGGCAUAGACUUCAGAUGUGUUUAUGGUAGCGAAGCGAAACAACUCAUGCGCGAAGUUCAUUCCGGCAUUUGCGGUGCUCACCAAGCAGG
Molecule: long non-coding RNA, 557 nt
Filed under: Rosa chinensis
Lineage: Eukaryota; Viridiplantae; Streptophyta; Magnoliopsida; Rosales; Rosaceae
Description: sRNA RchiOBHm_Chr1g0365471
Source: RNAcentral